This 928-nucleotide ribosomal RNA is filed under the name Lacticaseibacillus casei. RNAcentral's name for it is "bacterial SSU rRNA". It matches the Rfam family "Bacterial small subunit ribosomal RNA", at positions 518 to 1440 of the family's 1533-position model. The record is from RNAcentral. Lineage: Bacteria; Bacillati; Bacillota; Bacilli; Lactobacillales; Lactobacillaceae.
CGGUAAUAUGUAUGGUGGGCAAGCGUUAUCCGGAUUUAUUGGGGCGUGAAAGCGAGCGCAGGCGGUUUUUUUUAGUUUUGAUGUGAAAGCCCUCGGCUUAACCCAGGAAGCGCAUCGGAAACUGGGAAACUUGAGUGCAGAAGAGGACAGUGGAACUCCAUGUGUAGCGGUGAAAUGUGUAGAUAUAUGGAAGAACACCAGUGGCGAAGGCGGCUGUCUGGUCUGUAACUGACGCUGAGGCUCGAAAGCAUGGGUAGCGAACAGGAUUAGAUACCCUGGUAGUCCAUGCCGUAAACGAUGAAUGCUAGGUGUUGGAGGGUUUCCGCCCUUCAGUGCCGCAGCUAACGCAUUAAGCAUUCCGCCUGGGGAGUACGACCGCAAGGUUGAAACUCAAAGGAAUUGACGGGGGCCCGCACAAGCGGUGGAGCAUGUGGUUUAAUUUGAAGCAACGCGAAGAACCUUACCAGGUCUUGACAUCUUUUGAUCACCUGAGAGAUCAGGUUUCCCCUUCGGGGGCAAAAUGACAGGUGGUGCAUGGUUGUCGUCAGCUCGUGUCGUGAGAUGUUGGGUUAAGUCCCGCAACGAGCGCAACCCUUAUGACUAGUUGCCAGCAUUUAGUUGGGCACUCUAGUAAGACUGCCGGUGACAAACCGGAGGAAGGUGGGGAUGACGUCAAAUCAUCAUGCCCCUUAUGACCUGGGCUACACACGUGCUACAAUGGAUGGUACAACGAGUUGCGAGACCGCGAGGUCAAGCUAAUCUCUUAAAGCCAUUCUCAGUUCGGACUGUAGGCUGCAACUCGCCUACACGAAGUCGGAAUCGCUAGUAAUCGCGGAUCAGCACGCCGCGGUGAAUACGUUCCCGGGCCUUGUACACACCGCCCGUCACACCAUGAGAGUUUGUAACACCCGAAGCCGGUGGCGUAACC